GUCAAAGUUGCAGAGAUCUGGUUAGUAACCAGAGAUCUGGUUACUAAGGUGCUGGAACAGCUGAGACACCAAACAGGAAACAGCAGGCAACCCAGGGCUCCUCAGCACUAGGUUGCUGCUCAAAUCCCUAGCAUUGCAGGGACAAAGGAGAGUCGCCUGGUGGGAACUGGAACCACAUGGAGAAGUAUCCCCAGGAAGCUCUGGGCCUGCGGAGGGAGGCGGUGCGGGCGACGCUGAAAUCCAGCAGCUGCGCCGCCUGAGGCGGAGCUUCCACCAUCUGUGGAAAACAAGAUCUGCUUGUUUUCCCUGAAGCCCCAUGUCUGCAGGGAUGGUGAUCCUGUUAGCGUGUUGAAGGAAGUGAUUAAGGGAGAUGUGAGAAUUCUAAUCUAUGAAAUUUGAAUUUCUGGGCUUCCACAUCAGCCACACUCACUCUGCAUCUUCUGUAACUGAUUUAUCUUCAAAGAAGAAACUCCUAAGUAUCAUUUCCUCUUCCUGUUGUUACUUGUUACUGCUACAGUCCCACCAUCAAGAACACCUCUGCUUAGAGGGAGGCAGAGAAGCUCCAAUGACCUCCCACUGGCCCUGCCCAACCCCACGGCCCUUGCCCUCCGUCUGCAAAGAGGAAAAGGCCCAGCCCAUGGCCCUCAGCCAAGGUCAGUGCUGAGAGGCAAGGCCAGCGCUUUACCAGCACCAGGUCCAGAACCAACUCGUGCUUCCCUUCCCAGGGUGAGAAACUAUUGAUAUGUGAACCCCAACAGGGGCCAAAUAUGUCUCUUCCUCAACUGAAGGAAAAGACGCUUAUUUAUUUUGGGGGGACAGGGUCUCCCUCUGUUGCCCAGGCUGGAGUGUAGCGGUGUGAUCAUAGCUCACCGUGACCUGGAACUCCUGGGUUUAAGCGAUCCUCCCACGUCACCCUCCUGAGUAUCUGGGACUACAGGCAAGAGCAACUGCACCUGGCAGACCUUUAUUUUAAAUAUGUGAGUUUCCUGUGAAAUAGCCACACUCAAUGAUACUGUGCCGGGGUGUGCCAGGCCUCCUAACUCUUGGGGUCAAGCCACAAAUUAGCAAUACUUUGAGGAUCUGUUUCCAAAAAAUUCACUUUGUUUACAACAGUAAUUCGGGCUGCUUUUGCCCCACACUUCACCAAAUUGUGUUGAUCAUAAAUGAAGUUAUAUAGUUACUGUACGAUUUGUAGGGGGAUGCAGGAGGUAGGGCUCAACAGAUUUGCUCUGUUCUCUGUGAGUGCUAUAUAGGAUCAAAGAGUGAGAUGGCAUUUCUAGUUAAUAACAGAGCCUGAACCAAGCAUAAGUGAGACUCACUCUGCCCAUUAUGGUGUGUCCCCUUCAAGCAGACACACUGUCACAGCUAAAAAGUCAUUGUAACCCCAGGUGGUUUUGCAUUUGAGGAAUUUAUGUGUGAUGCCUCAGCAUCCUCUGUCUCUUCAUUCCUGUAUCAAAUAUUCCUGUUUCCUGUACUCCUGUUUCUUUACCCAUCUGUCACUCACACCAUCUGUAUCUUAUAUUUUCAUAACAAUUUGCCAUAGUUUGGAAAGAACAGGUUUUGCAUGUCUGUGUACUUGUGGACAUCAAGUGCUUGAUUUAACAACCUUCCCUUAUGAGUGCAGUAGGAUCUGAGGGUAAAAUAGUGAUCCCUGUUCUUGGGCCUAGUGGAAGGUGAGGAAGGUUAUUCUUGUCUGUCACAUAUAUUCACAUGCCAGGCAGUGUGGCAAGAGGCAAACUUAUCACCAGCCCAAAGCAUCUGAGAAGUCAAAUGCUUGCUCUAUGUCUCCAAGGACAGAUGACUGUGCCCAAAAGGGUGUGAUUCCUCCUACAUGAUAGUGCCAAACCCUUAAACAUUCACUCCUUCAUUCAUUUAUAUAAAAUAGAAUCCAUCUGUAUCUGUUUUUGUAAUCAAGCAAUUUAUCCUAAGCAAAUGUCUAAUGUACAAACAUAUUUGCAUGUUAAUGACCUCAAGGUAGUAUAAACCAAUGAAUUGUGAUUUAUUUACUAGUACUCAAGCAUAGAAAUAUAAGUAAAUAUUCAUAGUAUAAACAAGCAUCCUUGUACAUUUUCCUUUGCACAUUUCUCUGAUUUAAAACAAUUCUUAGCCGGGCGCGGUGGCUCACACCUGUAACCCCAGCACUUUGGGAGGCCAAGGCAGGUGGAUCAUUUGAAGUCAGAAGUUGGAGACCAGCCUGACCAACGUGGUGAAACCCCAUCUCUACUAAAAAAAAAAAAUACAAAAUUAGCAGGGCGUGGUGCUACAUGCCUGUAAUCCCAGCUACAUGGGAGACUGAGGCAGGAGAAUGGCUUGAACCUGGGAGGCAGAGGUUGCAGUGAGCUGAGAUCGUGCCAUUACACUCCAGCUAGGGCAACAGGAGUAAAACUCCAUCUCAAAAAAAAAAAAAAAAAAUAUUCUUAAAAUUCAAGUGCUAGGUAAAAGCAUGUGGACAUUGAGACUUUGAUAUGUAUUAAAAACUGCACAGCAAAAGUGAACCAAUUUGCCUUUCCGGCAGUCUUAUGUGAGAGUAUACAGUCCAUGUACUUUACAGAGCUUUGUGUUAGCAUUCUUUGUAACCUUAGUAAAUUUGGUAAACGAAAAAUUAUAUUGGAUAAUUUAAAUGUUGGCUUCCUUAUAUAACAAUGUAAGGAAGUAACAAUGAUCUCAUUUUCUGUGUUAUCCAUUUUUAUAUACACUAUUGUUAUCACCUGUGGUGUCCAUUUGCCCCCUUUUCUACCGUAAAAAUUUUUGC
Pongo pygmaeus (Bornean orangutan) is the source of this 2752-nucleotide long non-coding RNA. RefSeq lists it as uncharacterized. The record is from RefSeq and is a predicted model, not a curated record. The transcript is spliced from 3 exons. NCBI's taxonomy places the organism in Eukaryota, Metazoa, Chordata, Mammalia, Primates, Hominidae.